AGGGUGGUGGACUUACUUGCUUGUUAGUUUACUUGCUUUCAUUCCCGCUUGUCCACUACUUUAUUGCAUGAAGUAUUCAGUUCACAUAUAUAUAUAUAAUAUCAAUUGGCUUACUAUCUCUAUUUGCAUUAUAUAUCUCCUCCUUGACUCCCCAACUACUAGCUACGAGUCUCCCACUUCUUACUUGCAUGCCGUAUUGCUUGUUGAAAAUUGCACUACUAAAUACAGAAUUGACCAGUGCCCAAUAAGGCUAAGGCUCCCGCUCCCCAUGCUUUAACCAAUGACCUAAUUCCAGUAGUUCACUUGUCCACUCUUAGGCUCCGGUCUUCCAUUCGAUUUUGGAUAUGAAAAAACUUGUAUAGUAGUUACUGGGCUGGUCUUACUAUCUUUAUGCGAAGUAUGACUUGACUGCCUAUUGAUCUGCUCCUCUUUUAGGAAAAUCUGAUAUACCUAUCUCGCAUCCUAAAGCUCCCUUCUAUAAACUAUGGUCUCACCAAACUACCCUCACUACCCACAUGGACUAAACAACUACCCAACAUACAAGAGUCGAACCUCCUUCCCUCACGCUCUUAGCACCUUGCUUUGUAUAGCUGGAAACUAUCUCUCUUCGCUUUCAACCUGCCACUACUGCCCACGGGCCUUGCUAUUACUUUAUCUAAAGCUAACUACCUUGUCUCUAACUCUGAAACUACCAUCUAUGAGACUUUCACUUUACAACCAGAUCCUAUGGUUUAUUGUUAGCAUGUCGGCAACUACCUACAAAACGGAACUACUAAUAUUGGAUUGAAACACUACCUUAUCAGAUUUGUUACUACUGGAAAUGUGUAACUCGAUACGCAGAUCCUAUGUUCUAUUAGCAGUGAGCAGCCAUAUUCUGAGUUACGAGUUGGAGACACCCCGGAGCUAGAUUCAAGGUAGAAGGUUUCAAUAACCAAAAAGAAUGAGAUAGGGGAGUUCUCGACUUAAGCUAGGCGCAUUCCAGACAAGAGCCCAGGAGCGGGCAAGUACUAAUCCAAUUCUUUGACUUAUGAGUUACAGUCUAGUGACGGAGAGUAAGUCUUAGUUAUAUGUGUUUAAGUCUAGCAGAGCACUACUUCGAUUCCAAGUUUCCAGUUUCAAUACUCAUUUCCUUAUAUUGAUUCCUAGUUCCGAGUUGAAUUGCGAGUUCCGAGUCUAAUUCUUAUGUGCGGGGUUGAGGAUCUAAAGUCAGAGGAUAAGAAGUAAGGCUUUGACUGUUAGCUUAGAAUCCAAGUAUAGUGCUGUAAGGACCGAACCCAAGAAACCAUGCCUGAUAUGGAAGCUUCAGAAUGACAUGAUAGACCUGGAAUCCAGCUCGUACUGACAAGAAUCUAACCAUCAAGUAAGAAAUAACUAUUACCCUAUACAACUAUAAGAAAGAAACUAGAAAGUCAUAAUUACACUCCUUCUUGCCCGAACCUAGCUCCUUAGCUUCAAUAAGACCAAUCAAUACCAGUAAGGAGAAUGAAAACAAUGCCAAUAAGAAUGGAAACGAUACCUCUCAGAAGCAAACAGUUACCAUCAAAAUCAACUAAUAGGUAAAAGGCUGGAAUCUCUGCUAACAAUCCUUCUACUAGGGGGAAAGGAACGAAAACAGGGCUACUACCACUAAACAAUAGAAAGAAUAGAGCUGGGAACAAGCAAACAGUAUCUAAGGUCCGUGCUCCACCUACUUCAAAGCUACCUUUCCUGUCUAGAAGACUGACUUUCUGGAGAACCUAUAAAUCAUAUGUUCAUCUCUUAUUCUUCUACCACUAGAGAUACUUUAACUUCAAAUACAAUACAGAAGCUAACUCACUUGUUUGAGUCACCAAGUCACUACUUACUCAAGGAAUCUAUUUAUACUAACUAAGUUCUACUACCAGUAGGAGUGGUGGGGCAUAUGAAACUUCAAUCACUGCUAAUAUGAAACUUCAAUCACUGCUAACAAGAAGAAAUCAUGGGUCCUACUCGGACCUACUAGAGAAUUCAAGCUGGAAAUAUAGGUUUCACUUACCUGUUAAUCAGACUUGGGCUGGGGCUUCUAAGACUUACCUUGCAAAACCAGUN
This 2067-nucleotide long non-coding RNA is filed under the name Musa acuminata (dwarf banana). RNAcentral's name for it is "long non-coding RNA (MACU_LNC007777)". The record is from RNAcentral. Lineage: Eukaryota; Viridiplantae; Streptophyta; Magnoliopsida; Zingiberales; Musaceae.